This 491-nucleotide ribosomal RNA is filed under the name uncultured bacterium. RNAcentral's name for it is "partial 16S ribosomal RNA". It matches the Rfam family "Bacterial small subunit ribosomal RNA", at positions 29 to 507 of the family's 1533-position model. The record is from RNAcentral.
UUGAACGCUGGCGGCAUGCUUUACACAUGCAAGUCGAACGGUAACAGGCCUUCGGGUGCUGACGAGUGGCGAACGGGUGAGUAAUGCAUCGGAACGUACCCAGAGGUGGGGGAUAACGCAGCGAAAGCUGUGCUAAUACCGCAUGUGAUCUGAGGAUGAAAGCGGGGGACCGAGCAGCAAUGUUUGGCCUCGCGCCUUUGGAGCGGCCGAUGUCGGAUUAGCUAGUUGGUGGGGUAAAGGCCUACCAAGGCGACGAUCCGUAGCUGGUCUGAGGGGACGACCAGCCACACUGGGACUGAGACACGGCCCAGACUCCUACGGGAGGCAGCAGUGGGGAAUUUUGGACAAUGGGCGCAAGCCUGAUCCAGCAAUGCCGCGUGCGGGAAGAAGGCCUUCGGGUUGUAAACCGCUUUUGGCAGGAACGAAACGGUGUCCGCUAAUACCGGGCGCUAAUGACGGUACCUGCAGAAUAAGCACCGGCUAACUACGUG